Molecule: long non-coding RNA, 1331 nt
Organism: Bos taurus (domestic cattle)
Lineage: Eukaryota; Metazoa; Chordata; Mammalia; Artiodactyla; Bovidae
Source: Ensembl
CACUUUAGAAAAGAACCGGCGGCGCUGAGAAAGCGGGCUGUUUCCUGUCCUCCUAGGGACCGAGGCGGCAGCCGCGGCAGCUCCGGCGCGUUGCUGAGCAAGAAGCGGGGCUGGGACCGCCAAGCCGGGCGGCCACCCGGGUCUCUUCCGCGCGGCCGGAGCAGAGGCGGCAGCGGCGGCCCGGCUUACCUCCUCUUUUCCUCUUCCUGGGUCUCUUCAGAUGCUCCCUGGCUCUCACGCUCGCGGCGGCGGCGGCGGCGGUAGCGCCCGGAGCUCAGCUCGCUGUCUCCCUCGCUUAGUGCGGGGCUCUCGCCUCACUCCAGAGAGAGGGGCGGGAGGAAAACGGCGCGCAACAAUGACGCAAGUCACCUAGCAACCGCUCUCUCCCCCACCCCCUCCCUUCUCUCUCCGCUCGGAGGCUCACUCCCCUAGUCUUUUUUCACCUUUCCGACCACCCCGCCCUAGGCGCCUCUGGCGCGCUCUGAUGACGCUCCAAGGGAAGAGGAAGUCGGGCUCGGCGAGCGGGUGGGUGCGCCUCGGGCCGCGGACUCGGUGUCGCUGCCGCCGCCUCUACGGCCGCGUCAGAACAGAAGAGAGGAAGGGGAGGAGCCGCGUGGAGCCUAAGCUGCCGCCUGAGCUUACCCCUGACCCGAGGGCGGUGGAGAGAGCUUGCUCUGUAGCGGUUUCCUUCAGAGCAGGUGGUGACUGCUCCUUGGGGAGCAAGGAGGAGGCCCAGGCCGCGCGGCCAUGCUCGGGCGCGCACCACCCGAAGGUGAGGCAUUUGGCCCCAAACGGGCCUUCGGAAAGCCCAGCUGCUCGAGAAGUUAUCUUACAGCUUGAUCUGCCGCACCUGCUCGAGGGCGCGAGCGCCCCACCCUUCCCCUGGUGUGGAGGGACACCAGCGCCCGAUGACGCGUGGUCAGGCAGAGCAAAUGUUUGAUGAAUGAAUGAAUGGCUCCCUCACUCGCGGAGCUCAGAGGAGUUUGACGGAAGUCCAAGCUCUUUGUAAACUGCGUAGCAUUUGUAAAGAUGCGAGUUGUAACACAUCCCUCUUACCCCUCUCCCCCCGAAGGAAAUGGGGCUGCGGUUGAAAUGAGUCCCAACCUGAGUCUUAAGUGAAAAAAGAGGCGAACUGCUGGGACGAAAGAAGGGAGCCGUCCUCCCAGGGAUUGUGGCAGUAUUUUUGACUUUUCAGGAAGAGGAUUUAGUACUGAUUCCCUUUUAGGAAUCAUUCAUGUUUGUGGCUUGGAGCUUUGGAAAGCUGGUAUUGGUUGUUAAUCGGUGUCCAUUACUGUAAUCAAGAAAUUUUGGCCUGUGUUUCAGGUCUGACU